RNAcentral lists this ribosomal RNA (482 nucleotides) under uncultured bacterium. Its description in RNAcentral is "partial 16S ribosomal RNA". It matches the Rfam family "Bacterial small subunit ribosomal RNA", at positions 28 to 523 of the family's 1533-position model. The record is from RNAcentral.
AGUGAACGUUGGCGACGUGGAUUAGGCAUGCAAGUCGAGCGAGAACCGUAGCAAUACGGGGACAGCGGCGAAAGGGACAGUAAUGUGUAGGUACCUACCUCCGGGUUCGGGAUAGCUGCGGGAAACUGCAGGUAAUACCGAAUAACGUCUCCGGACCAAAGGUGUGAUUCCACCUGGAGAGGGGCCUGCAUCCUAUUAGCUUGUUGGCGGGGUAACGGCCCACCAAGGCGACGAUGGGUAGCGGGUGUGAGGGCACGACCCGCGUCAUUGGGACUGAGGCACUGCCCAGACACCUACGGGUGGCUGCCGUCGUGAAUCUUCGGCAAUGGGCGCAAGCCUGACCGAGCGACGCCGCGUGCGGGAUGAAGGCCUUCGGGUUGUAAACCGCUGUCGUAGAGGAGGAAAUGCAGGGGGGUUCUCCCCUCUGUUUGACCUAUUCUAGGAGGAAGUACGGGCUAAGUUCGUGCCAGCCGCCGCCGUAA